This 676-nucleotide long non-coding RNA is filed under the name Homo sapiens (human). Its description in RNAcentral is "long non-coding RNA NONHSAT161797.1". The record is from RNAcentral. Lineage: Eukaryota; Metazoa; Chordata; Mammalia; Primates; Hominidae.
AACAACGUGCCUCAGGAGUGCAAGUUGCUGAUGAAGUGUGUCGCAUUUUUUAUGACAUGAGAGUUCGUAAAUGCUCCACACCAGAAGAAAUCAAGAAAAGAACAAAGGCUGUCAUUUUUUUGUCUCAGUGCAGACAAAAAGUGCAUCAUGUAGAAGGCAAAGAGAUCUUGGUUGGAGAUGUUGGUGUAACUAUAAGUGAGCCUUUCAAGCAUUUUGUGGGAAUGCUUCCUGAAAAAGAUUGUUGCUAUGCUUUGUAUGAUGCAAGCUUUGAAACAAAAGAAUCCAGAAGAAUUGAUGUUUUCUUGUGGGCAUCAGAACUAGCACCUUUGAAAAGUAAAAUGAUCUAUACAAGCUCCAAGGAUGCAAUCAAAAAGAAAUUUCAAGGCAUAAAACAUGAAUGGCAAACAAACGGACCAGAAGAUCUCAAUCGGGCUUGUACUGCUGAAAAGUUAGUGGAUCCUUAAUUGUAGCCUUUGAAGGAUGCCCUGUGUAGAUCAUCAUUCAGUGCCACAAAUUGAAAGCUUCCACGUUUAAUGUUAUCCUCUUGCUAUAUAAAUAAAGCAAAUAUAUUUAGGCCAGGGUCUCACUGAGGGGAGCUGUCUUGUCAUCUUUUAGAGUAAACUAAAUACUCUAUAAACAUAUGCAAACAGCCCUAAAUAUAUCUAAAGUCUAAAGU